UAUACAUGCAGUCGAGCGGACCAUUGGAGCUUGCUCCAUUUGGUUUACCGGCGGACGGGUGAGUAACACGUGGGCAACCUGCCCUGCAAAUCGGGAUAACUCCGGGAAACCGGUGCUAAUACCGAAUAGUUUGGCUCCCCUCCUGGGGAGCCACGGAAAGACGGUUUCGGCUGUCACUGCAGGAUGGGCCCGCGGCGCAUUACCUAGUUGGUGGGGUAAUGGCCUACCAAGGCAACAAUGCGUAGCCAACCUGAAAGGGUGAUCGGCCACACUGGGACUGAAACACGGCCCAAACUCCUACGGGAGGCAGCAGUAGGGAAUCUUCCGCAAUGGACAAAAGUCUGACGGAGCAACGCCGCGUGAGUGACAAAGGUUUUCGGAUCGUAAAACUCUGUUGUGAGGGAAAAACACGUACCAAUUAACUACUGGUACCUUGACGGUACCUCACCAAAAAGCCACGGCUAACUACGUGCCAGCAGCCGCGGUAAUACGUAGGUGGCAAGCGUUGUCCGGAAUUAUUGGGCGUAAAGCGCGCGCAGGCGGUCCUUUAAGUCUGAUGUGAAAGCCCACGGUUCAACCGUGAAGGGUCAUUGAAAACUGGAGGACUUGAGUGCAAAAAAGGAAAGUGGAAUUCCAUGUGUAGCGGUGAAAUGCGUAGAGAUGUGAAGGAAACCAGUGGCGAAGGCGACUUUCUGGUCUGUAACUGACGCUGAGGCGCGAAAGCGUGGGGAGCAAACAGGAUUAGAUACCCUGGUAGUCCACGCCGUAAACGAUGAGUGCUAAGGUGUUA
RNAcentral lists this ribosomal RNA (790 nucleotides) under Planomicrobium psychrophilum. RNAcentral describes it as "bacterial SSU rRNA". It matches the Rfam family "Bacterial small subunit ribosomal RNA", at positions 50 to 826 of the family's 1533-position model. The record is from RNAcentral. Lineage: Bacteria; Bacillati; Bacillota; Bacilli; Caryophanales; Caryophanaceae.